RNAcentral lists this long non-coding RNA (1234 nucleotides) under Panicum hallii. Its description in RNAcentral is "long non-coding RNA (PHAL_LNC000563)". Lineage: Eukaryota; Viridiplantae; Streptophyta; Magnoliopsida; Poales; Poaceae. The record is from RNAcentral.
GCUGGACAUUUCUGUCCUCACUCCUUCCAAUUUCACUUACUUUACCCCCACUUCAAGGUGUAAGUGUUCACAUCUAAUGUAAAUGGACUUAAGGUUCUCAGCCAAUCCAUGCCCAAAACCAUGUAUGUCAUAGGACCCUAGUUCAAUCACUCUCAAAUAGAAUUCAAAGUUAUGCCCCUGCCCCACUUUAUCCCUAGACAUUUUCCUUCACUAGUCAUCUUUUGUCCAUUAGCAACUGUGAUGAUCAUGGGCAAGGUUCUGGUGAUGAGGAGCUUGUUCAAUUUAGCCACUUGAAUGUCUAGAAAACUAAUGUUGCUACCUAAGGAUUGUAAUUGAUUUUUUCUUUAACUUCCCCUUCAGUUUGAGAGUUUCUGAUCCGGUCCCCUUCCAAUGCAUUUAAUGAGAUCCUGGGCUCUUCUACAGGUUACUCUCCUAAGUGGUGGAUUGACUAUCCUGCUUGUUCUGGAUCUUGAUGGUACGACGGGUAAGACCGAAGAGGCGGGUGAAAAGUACCCAUUAUAUAGGUGAGGCAAGAUAUGCUUGUCCCGAGGUGCUGCUUUCAUCAUUCCCAUUUCAUUCAUCCGUUCAAGUCGGAGCCAACGAUGUAAACCCAGAAGCAUUCACUACGGUCAUUCUCAGGGGGGGCGAGAUUCUAAGAAGAGGGAAGGGACUACAUUCAGUUCAUUAUUAGGAGAGAGUGAAUCUUUCGAUUCUGUCUCCAUCAAUACCAAACACCAAAAAACACUUCAUACUUCUUUCUUCUUUCCAUUUCAUCUCUUUAUCCCGGUAUCAAAUAAUCUCACCGAUCCCUUACUCUUUGAACUCGGACUCCCAUCCAAAGACUAGCUAUUCUUCUUAGCAGUUUCACAAGUGAAUGGUUUGAUUCUUUCCCCUCAGGUCACUUCACUACCUGGAUCCUCAUCUCUUGAACUCGUUCUGGCAGCUAGUUUAAAGGCACGGGCAUCUCGUCUAGUAUAGAUCGAUUUUAUAAGAGCUGCCAGUGCUCUGGUUCAAUUUCUCCAUUUACCAGUAAACUACUGGUUUUCUGCCAAAUGGCUAAACUUCCCCUAGUGCCAGUAGAAAAGUUUACUAUCUAAACUCUAGGUCAUAAAGUAUAGCUGGUGCCUAUACUUUGUAGAAAGAUGGAAAAUUGGAAGAAUUACCCUUGUUCCAAAUACAGCUCAACAAAGACCGCAACCCUUCAACCACCAACACUUGCCCACUCCUAAACUUG